RNAcentral lists this ribosomal RNA (254 nucleotides) under uncultured bacterium. Its description in RNAcentral is "partial 16S ribosomal RNA". It matches the Rfam family "Bacterial small subunit ribosomal RNA", at positions 524 to 776 of the family's 1533-position model. The record is from RNAcentral.
UACGUAGGGUGCAAGCGUUGUCCGGAUUUAUUGGGCGUAAAGAGCCUCGUAGGCGGUCUGUCGCGUCGGAUGUGAAAACCCAGGGCUCAACCCUGGGCCUGCAUUCGAUACGGGCAGACUAGAGUACGGCAGGGGAGACUGGAAUUCCUGGUGUAGCGGUGAAAUGCGCAGAUAUCAGGAGGAACACCGGUGGCGAAGGCGGGUCUCUGGGCCGUAACUGACGCUGAGGAGCGAAAGCGUGGGGAGCGAACAGG